This 460-nucleotide ribosomal RNA is filed under the name uncultured bacterium. RNAcentral's name for it is "partial 16S ribosomal RNA". It matches the Rfam family "Bacterial small subunit ribosomal RNA", at positions 338 to 795 of the family's 1533-position model. The record is from RNAcentral.
CCUACGGGUGGCUGCAGUGAGGAAUAUUGGUCAAUGGACGAGAGUCUGAACCAGCCAAGUAGCGUGAAGGAUGACUGCCCUACGGGUUGUAAACUUCUUUUAUAAAGGAAUAAAACGAGGCACGUGUGCCUUUUUGUAUGUACUUUAUGAAUAAGGAUCGGCUAACUCCGUGCCAGCAGCCGCGGUAAUACGGAGGAUCCGAGCGUUAUCCGGAUUUAUUGGGUUUAAAGGGAGCGUAGAUGGGUUGUUAAGUCAGUUGUGAAAGUUUGCGGCUCAACCGUAAAAUUGCAAUUGAUACUGGCAGUCUUGAGUACAGUUGAGGUAGGCGGAAUGCGUGGUGUAGCGGUGAAAUGCUUAGAUAUCACGAAGAACCCCGAUUGCGAAGGCAGCUUACUAACCUGUGACUGACAUUGAUGCUCGAAAGUGUGGGUAUCAAACAGGAUUAGAUACCCGAGUAGUC